This 136-nucleotide ribosomal RNA is filed under the name uncultured bacterium. Its description in RNAcentral is "partial 16S ribosomal RNA". It matches the Rfam family "Bacterial small subunit ribosomal RNA", at positions 355 to 506 of the family's 1533-position model. The record is from RNAcentral.
UGGGGAAUAUUGCACAAUGGGGGAAACCCUGAUGCAGCAACGCUGCGUGAAGGAUGAAGGUUUUCGGAUUGUAAACUUCUUUAGUCAGGGACGAAUAAAUGACGGUACCUGAAGAAUAAGCCACGGCUAACUACGU